UGGAGAGUAGCUCAGAUGGUAGAGCUGGCGACUGUUAAUCGCCCCGUCGCAGGUUCGAGCCCUGCCUCUCCAGCCA
Molecule: transfer RNA, 76 nt
Filed under: Stutzerimonas stutzeri
Lineage: Bacteria; Pseudomonadati; Pseudomonadota; Gammaproteobacteria; Pseudomonadales; Pseudomonadaceae
Description: Pseudomonas stutzeri tRNA-Asn
Rfam family: tRNA
About the family: Transfer RNA (tRNA) molecules are approximately 80 nucleotides in length. Their secondary structure includes four short double-helical elements and three loops (D, anti-codon, and T loops).
Source: RNAcentral